RNAcentral lists this transfer RNA (69 nucleotides) under Ictidomys tridecemlineatus (thirteen-lined ground squirrel). RNAcentral's name for it is "Spermophilus tridecemlineatus (thirteen-lined ground squirrel) tRNA". It matches the Rfam family "tRNA". From Rfam's summary of the family: Transfer RNA (tRNA) molecules are approximately 80 nucleotides in length. Their secondary structure includes four short double-helical elements and three loops (D, anti-codon, and T loops). The record is from Rfam by way of RNAcentral. Lineage: Eukaryota; Metazoa; Chordata; Mammalia; Rodentia; Sciuridae.
GGGAUUGUAGCUCAGUAGUAGAGUGCUUGCCUCCCACGCAUGAGCCACUGGGUUCCAUCCUCAGCACCA